Molecule: ribosomal RNA, 495 nt
Filed under: uncultured bacterium
Lineage: Bacteria
Description: partial 16S ribosomal RNA
Rfam family: Bacterial small subunit ribosomal RNA
Source: RNAcentral
GACGAACGCUGGCGGCGUGCCUAAUACAUGCAAGUCGAACGCUGAAGGAGGAGCUUGUUUCUCUGGAUGAGUUGCGAACGGGUGAGUAACGCGUAGGUAACCUGCCUGGUAGCGGGGGAUAACUUUUGGAAACGAUAGCUAAUACCGCAUAAUAGUAGAUGCUGCAUGACCUUUACGUAAAAGGUGCAAUUGCAUCACUACCAGAUGGACCUGAGUUGUAUUAGCUAUUGGGUGGGGUAACGGCUAACCAAGACGACGAUACAUAGCCGACCUGAUAGGGUAAUCGGCCUCACUGGGACGGGGACACGACCGAGACUCCUACGAGAGACAGACGUAGCGAAUCCUCGGCGAUGGACGAAAGUGUGACUGAGCAACGCCGCGUGAGUGAAUGAGGUUGUCGGGCCGUAUGGGUCUAUAAGAAUGGAAGAAUGUAUGUGAGAGUGGAAAGUGAAGACUGUGACGGUACCUUACCAGAAAGCGACGGCUAACUACGUG